CCUACGGGUGGCAGCAGUGGGGAAUAUUGGACGAUGGGCGAAAGCCUGAUCCAGCCAUGCCGCGUGUGUGAAGAAGGCCUUCGGGUUGUAAAGCACUUUCAGUGGGGAAGAAAGCCUUGGGGCUAAUACCCUCGAGGAAGGACAUCACCCACAGAAGAAGCACCGGCUAACUCCGUGCCAGCAGCCGCGGUAAUACGGAGGGUGCGAGCGUUAAUCGGAAUUACUGGGCGUAAAGCGCGCGUAGGCGGUCUGAUAAGCCGGUUGUGAAAGCCCCGGGCUCAACCUGGGAACGGCAUCCGGAACUGUCAGGCUAGAGUGCAGGAGAGGAAGGUAGAAUUCCCGGUGUAGCGGUGAAAUGCGUAGAGAUCGGGAGGAAUACCAGUGGCGAAGGCGGCCUUCUGGACUGACACUGACGCUGAGGUGCGAAAGCGUGGGUAGCAAACAGGAUUAGAUACCCCAGUAGUC
This 465-nucleotide ribosomal RNA is filed under the name Vreelandella stevensii. Its description in RNAcentral is "partial 16S ribosomal RNA". It matches the Rfam family "Bacterial small subunit ribosomal RNA", at positions 338 to 795 of the family's 1533-position model. Lineage: Bacteria; Pseudomonadati; Pseudomonadota; Gammaproteobacteria; Oceanospirillales; Halomonadaceae. The record is from RNAcentral.